Long non-coding RNA from Mauremys mutica (yellowpond turtle), 392 nucleotides. RefSeq lists it as uncharacterized. The record is from RefSeq and is a predicted model, not a curated record. Lineage: Eukaryota; Metazoa; Chordata; Testudines; Geoemydidae. The transcript is spliced from 3 exons.
CCUCUGUGGAGUUUUCUCCUUUCCUGCCACUGACUGUGCCGAAAACAAACUUCCCUUUGACAAGGCUGCAGAAUAACGACCCCGUUUUUCUCCAGAGCGUCCCAUCUUCCCAGGGGCCGGGCCAGGGAAAUGGCUGUGGUGGAUCCAGCUGAGGGGCCAGUGAGCUUCGAGGAGGUGGCUGUGUAUUUCCCCAUGGGGCAGGGGGCUCUGCUGGACCCCGCUCAGAGAGCCCUCUACAGGGACGUCCUGCAGGAGAACUAUGGGACUGUACUUGUGUGAUGGAGCGGUGUGACGAUGCAGUUCUGGCGGGACCCAACUGAGGUGCCAAAUCAGGACCAAUUGCUUAAACAGGGCAGUCACAGCCCUAGGCUGGGGUUUUUCCACCUCUAAGG